Molecule: non-coding RNA, 259 nt
Filed under: Clostridium amylolyticum
Lineage: Bacteria; Bacillati; Bacillota; Clostridia; Eubacteriales; Clostridiaceae
Description: T-box sequence
Rfam family: T-box leader
About the family: Uncharged tRNA acts as the effector for transcription antitermination of genes in the T-box leader family. T-boxes are found upstream of many aminoacyl-tRNA synthetase genes and some amino acid biosynthetic genes usually in Gram-positive bacteria.
Source: RNAcentral
UAAAAUGUUUUGAAAAGAAGAGUAGUAAAGUGGAGUGUCUAAAAGAGAUCCGGGGAAGGUGAAAGCCGGAGUCAAGAAGCUUUAUGAACAUGGUCUUGGAGCAGAUUUUCUGAGCCUUAAUAUGGUUAGGAAAAUACGGGAGCAACCGUUAUAUUGCAAGGUGAUAAAAGCUAGAUAUUUCUGGCGGAGUCACUUAAUGAGUCGUCUUUUGUGAAAAAGAUGAAAAAUAGAGUGGUAACGCGAAUAAUACGCCUCUAUA